UGCAAGAGAUGGUGAUCCAGG
This 21-nucleotide non-coding RNA is filed under the name Rattus norvegicus (Norway rat). Lineage: Eukaryota; Metazoa; Chordata; Mammalia; Rodentia; Muridae. The record is from RNAcentral.